CCCUUAGAUGUUCUGGGCUGCACGCGCGCUACACUGACGCACGCAACAGGUGCCUGCUCCGAGAGGACUGGGUAAUCAUUUGAGUGUGCGUCGUGAUGGGGAUAGAAUAUUGUAAUUAUUACUCUUCAACGAGGAAUUCCUAGUAAGCGCCAGUCAGCAGCUUGCGCUGAUUACGUCCCUGCCCUUUGUACACACCGCCCGUCGCUCCUACCGAUGGGUGAUCCGGUUAAUGAUUCGGACUUCAGCGGCUCCCCUGGGGUGCGCCGGAGAAAGUUUUGUGAACCUUAUCACUUGGAGGAAGGAGAAGUCGUAACA
This 315-nucleotide ribosomal RNA is filed under the name uncultured eukaryote. Its description in RNAcentral is "partial 18S ribosomal RNA". It matches the Rfam family "Eukaryotic small subunit ribosomal RNA", at positions 1470 to 1796 of the family's 1831-position model. The record is from RNAcentral.